This 89-nucleotide unclassified non-coding RNA is filed under the name Pseudomonas corrugata. Lineage: Bacteria; Pseudomonadati; Pseudomonadota; Gammaproteobacteria; Pseudomonadales; Pseudomonadaceae. The record is from RNAcentral.
UGUGGGAGCGAGCCUGCUCGCGAUGACGGCGGUACGUUCAGCAUCAAUGCAACUGAACCACCGCUAUCGCGAGCAGGCUCGCUCCCACA